GAUGGCCGCGCGCAGGACCUUCUCUUUCCAGUGGUGUGGGCGGGGGUUUGCGCUCAGAAAAAGGUUCGGGUAAGUUUCCACGGGGAUGUGCAGCGUGGGCAGCAAGAGAGCCUAGCUUGCUAGAGAGCUCAGGGACCCUUCCACAUAUUCUACCACGCUCUGCGAUGCGUCCUGGAGUCGGGGCCCCUGUUGACCUCGCUAGGAUGGCCACAUUCCGACGGGACUUGGGAAUAAUAUUGGGGAGGAGGCAGGUAAUCGUUUCUUUCCUACUCUAGUCCUGUUCCUCCACGCUGAGUGUCACUGAACAGGUACACCCCCUUGGCGUUUGUCCAUUUAAAAGUGGAACAGCUGUUCCAGAGCAUUUGGGAGCUGUGGGCGUUGCAGUUCCAGAAACCGAGGCGCCUCAAGCUGGACUCACUCAGACCUGCAUUGUUGAUCUUUCCCCUGUGUAAGGAAGGGGGUACAGAGAGAUUCACAGCCAUCCCCAGGGCGGAAGGGCAGUAGCAUAGCUGUGUCAUUUGGACAACUCUGAGCCUUCUCUACUUCUCAAUUCUUCUUUUCUUUUUCUUUUAUACCCCGUCUCGGGAGCUGAAGGGGAAGAACCUACAACAUGGAAACUUUGUUGGUGCCUGUGAUCCUUUGUGGCCUAUACAAACAUAAAGAGCUACAAAGAUUGGAGUAUACUGUUCCUCAAUUAAGGACAAGGACGCCCUGGUAGAAUUUGGGUCAUUUGACCCUGCCUGCCUGAUGCCCACCUGCCCGGAUUACUGGACCUACUCGGGAUCCUUGACAACCCCACCACUCUCUGAAUCUGUCACUUGGAUCAUUAAGAAGCAGCCUGUACCCCUGGCUGGUGUGGCUCAGUGGAAUGAGCACCAGCCUGUGAACCAAAGGGUCACCAGUUCGAUUCCCAGUCAGGGCACAUGCUUGGGUUGCAGGCCAGGUCCCCAGUUAAGGGUGCAUGAGAGGCAACUGCACGUUGAAGUUUCUCUUUCUCCCUCCUUUCCCCUCUGUCUAAAAAAAAAAUACAUACUUUUUAAAAAAGCAUUAUGAUCAGGUACAUUCUUUACAUUUCCUCAUAUGAAUAUUCUAAUUUGCCCCUUCAGAACAAGGCUAGGCUCAGACUUUGAGAUCCAUUCUUAGCAUCUUACAAUGGUUAUACAUUUAUUGUAAAAGGUGCUAACUUCUCGUCUAAUUUGGGUAUGAAGUAGGAAAUGCUUCAGUUAACCAGAGAAGUUAAAACAUAGAACAUAAGCUUUUUGCUUUCAUUCUUGACAAUGAUAUUUAUUUUACUGUAUAUGCAUUGGGUGGAAUCUCUAUAAUAAAGUUAAGACUCUUUUAAAUGAAAAAAACUGGCCCUGGCUGGUAUGGCUCAGUUGGUUGGAGCAUCGUCCUGUAGCUGAAAGGUUUUGUGUUCAAUUCCUGGUCAGGGCACAUAACUAGGUUGCAGGUGUGGUUCCUGGUGCGGGCAGGUAUGGGAGGCAACCUGUCGAUGCUUCUCUCUCGCACUGAUGUUUCUCUCCCUUCCUCUCCGAAAAGCAAUCAAAAUAUGCCCUCAGGUGAAGAUAAAAUAAUAAUAAUAGUAAUAAUAAAUGUAAAAAGUGAAGGACAAAAGCAGCUGUUUUAAAACCUUUCCAUUUCACCCUGGCUGGGGAGCUCAGUUGGAUAGUAUUGUCCUGAUAGGCCAAGGUAGCAAGUUCCAUCCCUGGUCAGGGCACAUACA
This is a long non-coding RNA of Phyllostomus hastatus (greater spear-nosed bat), 1723 nucleotides long. RefSeq lists it as uncharacterized. The transcript is spliced from 3 exons. The record is from RefSeq and is a predicted model, not a curated record. Lineage: Eukaryota; Metazoa; Chordata; Mammalia; Chiroptera; Phyllostomidae.